GGAUCAAUAUGUCGGUCGUGCUUCGGUACGUACUGGCGUUAUUGGUUUCUCCCUUCUGAAGAACCGCGAUGUCAUUAAUUUGGUGUCGUGGGGAAUCAGGACUGUUACUUUGAAAAAUUAGAGUGUUUAAAGCAGGCUCGCGCUUGAAUACAUUAGCAUGGAAUAAUGAAAUAGGACGUUUGAUUCUAUUUUGUUGGUUUCUAGGAUCGACGUAAUGAUU
RNAcentral lists this ribosomal RNA (220 nucleotides) under uncultured fungus. RNAcentral describes it as "partial 18S ribosomal RNA". The stretch from base 39 to 220 matches the Rfam family "Eukaryotic small subunit ribosomal RNA", at positions 686 to 870 of the family's 1831-position model. The record is from RNAcentral. Lineage: Eukaryota; Fungi.